CAGAGGGUGCAAGCGUUGCUCGGAAUUAUUGGGCGUAAAGGGUAGGUAGGUGGUCUCAUUUGUCUGGGGUGAAAGCCUUGAGCUUAACUCAAGAAGUGCCCCAGAAACGGUGAGACUAGAGUCCUGGAGAGGGUCGUGGAAUUCCCGGUGUAGCGGUGAAAUGCGUAGAGAUCGGGAGGAACACCAGAGGCGAAAGCGGCGACCUGGACAGGUACUGACACUCAACUACGAAAGCGUGGGGAGCAAACAGGAUUAGAUACCCUGGUAGUCCACGCUGUAAACGAUGGGUACUAGGUUUGGUGGGUCUUGACCCCCGCGAACCGGCGCUAACGCAAUAAGUACCCCGCCUGGGAAGUACGGUCGCAAGACUA
RNAcentral lists this ribosomal RNA (371 nucleotides) under uncultured organism. RNAcentral describes it as "bacterial SSU rRNA". It matches the Rfam family "Bacterial small subunit ribosomal RNA", at positions 526 to 896 of the family's 1533-position model. The record is from RNAcentral.